This is a long non-coding RNA of Mus pahari (shrew mouse), 2552 nucleotides long. RefSeq lists it as uncharacterized. The record is from RefSeq and is a predicted model, not a curated record. The transcript is spliced from 6 exons. NCBI's taxonomy places the organism in Eukaryota, Metazoa, Chordata, Mammalia, Rodentia, Muridae.
CACUCUUUCAGUGCGACAGCUUCGGAGCUGAUGGAGAGACAGAAAGCACGCAACUGGAAAAAUUCAAACAUGGAAUUCAUGGAUUAAAUGGUCACCAAUUGUUUCAGCAUUGCGUAUUGAAUAAUACAACCUUCUUCCACUGCCGUGAAAUGUCAACAGCUGCUCUCCCACUAGAUAGGGCGUAGCUUUCCACAGACGUGAAAACAUUGCUGUGGUCCAUCUCUAUUUACUGCAAGCAGAAAGGUCAAGACAGAAAACAUAGAGGCUUUUAGUAGGAGAUUGAAAUAGCUACAGUGCAAGACAAAGAGAGGCCUUCAUGCAUGGUGUGCAUUUGCCACCUAGCGACCACACUGAGGGAGAAGGAACGUGGAGCAUCUGCACAGUCUUCCAAACAACACCCCUCACCCAUAGUUGAAACUUUGGAUUCACACCCUUCUCUGGCACUUCUGACAAUAAGCUUGGUGACCCAUGCUCUGGAGGAAGACAGUGAAGAAGAACAAGACUACUUUUCUGCGGCAAACUCUUAUGUUCUCUGUUCUCUCCUUACCACCGUUGUCAUGAGCAGCAUUUUUCAUAGAUGCACUGUUAUCCUUGCCAUGAGGGCAGACAAAAAUGAAAAAUAGUUGCCAAGUAACCACAAUGGCUGAUAUGAAACUUUGGGAAAUAUCACUGAGAUGCGCUUUGAUAUUUUAUUUCUGUGAACAAACCAAUUGUCUUGGACUUUCACAGUACUCUUUUCUAUGUCUCACCCUUUACCACAAAGGUCCUUUAGUCCUCUGACAUGCAUAGUGUGAGGGAUUCUGUCACACAUUCUAGAACCUCGUAAAGCAUGAGGGGCCUGCUAUCUGUGCUUUAUCAUCUUCAUUCCUGAAGUUUACUUUAAUUCUGAUUAGUUUGGCAUAAGGUCAUUUGUUGUGUGUAGUCAUCUAAGUUAUGUAUUGCCUGAUCCUAAGUAGCAGAGCAUUUAUCAUAAAUUCCUUGAUUUGCAUUGGUACCUAAUCAAGGUGGAAGAGUUAAUAUAGUUAAUUUCCAUAGUUCCCUCUUGUUCUCAUGUUUGCCUCACCAAAGUGUUUCUGAGAUGCUAAACCUCCUCCAGAAAAGGUAAUGCUAAUAUUUCCUAUUCCCAAAAGGUGCUGCAGAACUCACUUCUAGUUGAAGUUUGAGAGUUUAAUUCACUUUUGUAAUCUCAUUAUUUGACUAAAGUAUUGUUAAAGUGAAUUUUGAAUGUUUGAAAUUUCCUAUGCAGAUUUAACAAACAGAGAAAAUGACAAAACCAGAGGUAAGACACUCAGAAAAGAUUAUUUUUUUUCUGGCAUAUGAUGAGCCUGUCUGGUCUUUUAGUACUUAUACAUACUUUCACCUGCUAUCUAUUUUGAACCCAGUUGUGUUCUUUUUCUGGGAACAGAGAGAAAGUCUGACUAGCAUUGCUUGAUCUUUUUGCCCUAACUGCUACUGUGCCAACAUUAUAGAAGGAGCACCCUGAUUGCAUAGGAUAAUGACAUGAGAGUGCCUGAAGAGAGAAAGGAAGAGUAAAUCUUGAUAUGAAGUUGGGAAAAAGAUAACUUAAUAUAUCCUAAAUUGCAUAAAGACAUCCUGGAAUGCAAGCAGUUUGUUCAGUAAUGAAGUAAAUGUUUCUUUUGAGCCAUAGUGUUAAUAAAAGACCUUGCUCUCACAUUAAGCAAGAUGGCUGGCAGUCUCGAGGCUCAGAAGAAGAAGAUGUAGGUUGAAAGUGCACUGUCAGAUAGUGUGGACCUAGUAAUGUUAUAGUUCUGAGCAAGUACUCACUUCUCCUCUAACCUAAAUCGUUCUCAGCAUUGACUGAAUUUUGGAGUCAGGGAGGGGAGCUCUGAAAACAUGGCAUUUCUGGAAUGUGUUCCCAGCAGUAGGGACAGUGCCUAUAUAUUUGGAAACCUACUCAAUGGUUCUGUCUACAUCUCUAGAUGAAUACUUCUGCUAUGAGGUGAUAAGAAAUUAAGAUAGAAAAAUAGAAGAGAACUAGUUUUGGGCUCAGGGAACAAGGUUAACAUGAUCAUCUCAGUUUGUUCUGCCACUAGUUCAAUGAGCAGUCUUACUAAAGUCACACUAGACAUUUCCUAGUUUCUAAAUGAGGUUAUAGUAUCUUUAUCUCCAAGUAUUCUAACUUCGGUAUUGCCACGUUCAGACAAAAUGACAUCAACCUUAUUGGUUAACUUUGUGAGUACCUUAGACUUUACACAGAAGCCAGGGUAAAUCAUAAUGUUAAAUAUUCAUGUUAUUUGAAAAAUGAGGGUGUUUAGACUGCAGAUAUAGUUAUGUAGUAGAGCCCUUGCUUGGCUAAUUAUAGGCUCUGGGUUCAUUCUCCAGCACUGUAAAAAUGUGGUUGUGAGUAAAGCUUUGUGUAUUUUAGAUCCUCCCAGAAAAGAAAGUUAGGUGUUAGGUAACAUAGAAUAAAGAGGUCAACUUCUUAAUGAGAAAACACCUUCCAUGAGUCAUAUAUGUAUAUAUUCUAUUAUAUAUAAUAGCAUUUGGAAAAAAUAACUCAAACCACUUUCAUAUGCUUUUAAACAAUUUAU